AGGCUUUGAGGUGUUUUACAUGUUGGGUUGCAAACCCAAAGUAGUCGGUUAACAGCCCACCAGAGCC
This 67-nucleotide transfer RNA is filed under the name Pagellus bogaraveo (blackspot seabream). Its description in RNAcentral is "tRNA-Cys". The record is from RNAcentral. Lineage: Eukaryota; Metazoa; Chordata; Actinopteri; Spariformes; Sparidae.